GCGGCAUGCUUUACACAUGCAAGUCGAACGGUAACAGGGAGCUUGCUCCGCUGACGAGUGGCGAACGGGUGAGUAAUAUAUCGGAACGUACCCAAGAGUGGGGGAUAACGUAGCGAAAGUUACGCUAAUACCGCAUACGAUCUAUGGAUGAAAGCAGGGGACCUUCGGGCCUUGUGCUCCUGGAGCGGCCGAUAUCUGAUUAGCUAGUUGGUGAGGUAAAGGCUCACCAAGGCGACGAUCAGUAGCUGGUCUGAGAGGACGACCAGCCACACUGGAACUGAGACACGGUCCAGACUCCUACGGGAGGCAGCAGUGGGGAAUUUUGGACAAUGGGCGCAAGCCUGAUCCAGCAAUGCCGCGUGAGUGAAGAAGGCCUUCGGGUUGUAAAGCUCUUUUGUCAGGGAAGAAACGGCUGUGGCUAAUAUCCACGGCUAAUGACGGUACCUGAAGAAUAAGCACCGGCUAACUACGUGCCAGCAGCCGCGGUAAUACGUAGGGUGCAACCGUUAAUCGGAAUUACUGGGCGUAAAGCGUGCGCAGGCGGUUUUGUAAGUCUGUCGUGAAAUCCCCGGGCUCAACCUGGGAAUUGCGAUGGAGACUGCAAGGCUAGAAUCUGGCAGAGGGGGGUAGAAUUCCACGUGUAGCAGUGAAAUGCGUAGAGAUGUGGAGGAACACCGAUGGCGAAGGCAGCCCCCUGGGUCAAGAUUGACGCUCAUGCACGAAAGCGUGGGGAGCAAACAGGAUUAGAUACCCUGGUAGUCCACGCCCUAAACGAUGUCUACUAGUUGUCGGGUUUUAAUUAACUUGGUAACGCAGCUAACGCGUGAAGUAGACCGCCUGGGGAGUACGGUCGCAAGAUUAAAACUCAAAGGAAUUGACGGGGACCCGCACAAGCGGUGGAUGAUGUGGAUUAAUUCGAUGCAACGCGAAAAACCUUACCUACCCUUGACAUGUC
Molecule: ribosomal RNA, 955 nt
Filed under: Massilia timonae
Lineage: Bacteria; Pseudomonadati; Pseudomonadota; Betaproteobacteria; Burkholderiales; Oxalobacteraceae
Description: bacterial SSU rRNA
Rfam family: Bacterial small subunit ribosomal RNA
Source: RNAcentral